UACGUAGGGUGCAAGCGUUGUCCGGAAUUAUUGGGCGUAAAGAGCUCGUAGGCGGUCUGUCGCGUCGGCUGUGAAAUUCCGAGGCUCAACCUCGGGUCUGCAGUCGAUACGGGCAAACUAGAGUAUUGCAGGGGAGACUGGAAUUCCUGGUGUAGCGGUGAAAUGCGCAGAUAUCAGGAGGAACACCGGUGGCGAAGGCGGGUCUCUGGGCAAUAGCUGACGCUGAGGAGCGAAAGCGUGGGGAGCGAACAGG
This 253-nucleotide ribosomal RNA is filed under the name uncultured bacterium. RNAcentral's name for it is "partial 16S ribosomal RNA". It matches the Rfam family "Bacterial small subunit ribosomal RNA", at positions 524 to 776 of the family's 1533-position model. The record is from RNAcentral.